CCUACGGGAGGCAGCAGUGAGGAAUAUUGGUCAAUGGGAGAGAUCCUGAACCAGCCAAGCCGCGUGAGGGAAGACGGCCCUAUGGGUUGUAAACCUCUUUUGUCGGAGAACAAAACCCGGGACGUGUCCCGGACUGCGUGUAUCCGAAGAAAAAGCAUCGGCUAACUCCGUUCCAGCAGCCGCGGUAAUACGGAGGAUGCGAGCGUUAUCCGGAUUUAUUGGGUUUAAAGGGUGCGUAGGCGGUCCGUUAAGUCAGCGGUAAAAUUGCGGGGCUCAACCCCGUCGAGCCGUUGACACUGACAGACGUGAGUUGGCGAGAAGUACGCGGAAUGCGCGGUGUAGCGGUGAAAUGCAGAGAUAUCGCGCAGAACUCCGAUUGCGAAGGCAGCGUACCGGCGCCAGACUGACGCUGAGGCACGAAAGCGUGGGGAUCGAACAGGAUUAGAUACCCCUGUAGUC
RNAcentral lists this ribosomal RNA (459 nucleotides) under uncultured bacterium. RNAcentral describes it as "partial 16S ribosomal RNA". It matches the Rfam family "Bacterial small subunit ribosomal RNA", at positions 338 to 795 of the family's 1533-position model. The record is from RNAcentral.